UCAUAGACGAUGAGGUUGAUAGGUUCGGUGUGGAAGUGCAGUAAUGCAUGGAGCUGACGAAUACUAAUCGGUCGAGGACUUAUCCAC
This 87-nucleotide ribosomal RNA is filed under the name Brevibacillus laterosporus. Its description in RNAcentral is "partial 23S ribosomal RNA". It matches the Rfam family "Bacterial large subunit ribosomal RNA", at positions 2838 to 2925 of the family's 2925-position model. The record is from RNAcentral. Lineage: Bacteria; Bacillati; Bacillota; Bacilli; Caryophanales; Paenibacillaceae.